Molecule: long non-coding RNA, 178 nt
Filed under: Mustela putorius furo (domestic ferret)
Lineage: Eukaryota; Metazoa; Chordata; Mammalia; Carnivora; Mustelidae
Description: lncRNA (ENSMPUG00000028345.1)
Source: RNAcentral
AGAAUUUUCAAGCCAACCACUACAGCAGCAGUCAUAAGAAGAUGGUGUGAUUUCAAAGGUACAAGGCAUUGACAGAGUACUUUUGAUUGUUAUGACAUCCUGAGCAGAUAUGGGAAAUCCUUCUCAAGUUUCAAUACAUAAAAAUUCCAAAUAAAAUAUAAUAACAGCAAGAACAAAA